UACGUAGGUGGCAAGCGUUGUCCGGAUUUAUUGGGCGUAAAGCGCGUGUAGGCGGCCAGAAAAGUCCGCUGUGAAAACUCGAGGCUCAACUUCGAGCUGUCGGUGGAAACUUUCUGGCUAGAGUCCGGAAGAGGAGAAUGGAAUUCCUGGUGUAGCGGUGAAAUGCGCAGAUAUCAGGAAGAACACCCGUGGCGAAGGCGGUUCUCUGGGACGGUACUGACGCUGAGACGCGAAAGCGUGGGGAGCGAACAGG
This 253-nucleotide ribosomal RNA is filed under the name uncultured bacterium. RNAcentral describes it as "partial 16S ribosomal RNA". It matches the Rfam family "Bacterial small subunit ribosomal RNA", at positions 524 to 776 of the family's 1533-position model. The record is from RNAcentral.